This is a long non-coding RNA of Homo sapiens (human), 552 nucleotides long. Ensembl annotates it as BTG3 antisense RNA 1. Its record names the gene BTG3-AS1. The record is from Ensembl. NCBI's taxonomy places the organism in Eukaryota, Metazoa, Chordata, Mammalia, Primates, Hominidae.
ACUUUGUUCCACAAGGCUCCUCUGCUCACGGCUGCGUGGAUAAAACCCAAAGGGAAUCCAGAAUCAAGCUCGGCCUCGCAGGAGUUUAUAACUUUUGUACUUUUCCCUCCCUUGUAACGAAAAGCUAAUCGCAAACGUUUCUAGGAACACAUUUUUCUCCUGAUAGACGUUCCCAAGGUGGAGGGCGCGAGAAGACUGGCCCGUGGGGUGAGGAGCCCCGGCCCGACCUCAGCGGCGCCACAAAGCCAUGAAGAGGGGAAAUAAUUUUCCAAGGGGCUAAGAGUUGGACUUUCUGAAGCCAUCGAAACCUGCUGCUAGGCUCUCCCGCUGGGGUUUUGAGAGAGGUAAAGAAAUUGAGUUCCAGAAGAGUAAUUGACACAAUUGCCCCAUGUCACACAACACGGUGGUAUUGAAAGAGACAAGAAGGAAAGUUUCCUAACUUCAAACUUUGUGCUUUCUCCACUAUCCCGUGAGAGAAUUUGGACUGGCUACAAGCAAGGGGCACAGGGAGAGCUCUCCCUGAAGUUCUGACUGAGGGAAUUCCUUCCAAAA